UACGAAGGUGGCAAGCGUUGUUCGGAUUUACUGGGCGUACAGGGAGCGUAGGCGGUUGGGUAAGCCCUCCGUGAAAUCUCCGGGCCCAACCCGGAAAGUGCGGAGGGGACUGCUCGGCUAGAGGCUGGGAGAGGAGCGCGGAAUUCCCGGUGUAGCGGUGAAAUGCGUAGAGAUCGGGAGGAAGGCCGGUGGCGAAGGCGGCGCUCUGGAACAUUUCUGACGCUGAGGCUCGAAAGCGUCGGGAGCAAUCAGG
RNAcentral lists this ribosomal RNA (253 nucleotides) under uncultured bacterium. RNAcentral's name for it is "partial 16S ribosomal RNA". It matches the Rfam family "Bacterial small subunit ribosomal RNA", at positions 524 to 776 of the family's 1533-position model. The record is from RNAcentral.